CCUACGGGAGGCAGCAGUGAGGAAUAUUGGACAAUGGGCGGGAGCCUGAUCCAGCCAUGCCGCGUGCAGGAAGACUGCCCUAUGGGUUGUAAACUGCUUUUAUACGGGAAGAAACCCACCUACGUGUAGGUGGCUGACGGUACCGUAAGAAUAAGGACCGGCUAACUCCGUGCCAGCAGCCGCGGUAAUACGGAGGGUCCGAGCGUUAUCCGGAAUCAUUGGGUUUAAAGGGUCCGCAGGCGGCCAGAUAAGUCAGUGGUGAAAUUCCGUGGCUCAACCACGGAACUGCCAUUGAUACUGUUUGGCUUGAAUCAGUUCGAGGAUGCCGGAAUGUGUGGUGUAGCGGUGAAAUGCAUAGAUAUCACACAGAACACCAAUUGCGAAGGCAGGUGUCCAGAACUGUAUUGACGCUGAUGGACGAAAGCGUGGGUAGCGAACAGGAUUAGAUACCCUGGUAGUCCACGCCGUAAACGAUGGUCACUAGCUGUCCGGACUUAGGUCUGGGUGGCCAAGCGAAAGUGAUAAGUGACCCACCUGGGGAGUACGUUCGCAAGAAUGAAACUAAAAGGAAUUGACGG
Molecule: ribosomal RNA, 578 nt
Filed under: uncultured Croceibacter sp.
Lineage: Bacteria; Pseudomonadati; Bacteroidota; Flavobacteriia; Flavobacteriales; Flavobacteriaceae
Description: bacterial SSU rRNA
Rfam family: Bacterial small subunit ribosomal RNA
Source: RNAcentral